This 300-nucleotide long non-coding RNA is filed under the name Brassica napus (rape). Its description in RNAcentral is "long non-coding RNA (BNAP_LNC004463)". The record is from RNAcentral. Lineage: Eukaryota; Viridiplantae; Streptophyta; Magnoliopsida; Brassicales; Brassicaceae.
GAGUGGGGAAAAAUUGGAUAAGCAGACUCUGAAAGCAGAAAUAGAAAUUUGACUCACUGGCCUGACCUCAGGUGUUUAGCAUAUGUGAGUGCAAGAUUGAGAUCCUUACCGAUAAUGUAGAAGCUGUGGAGCAGAUUGUGCGCGAAGGUGGAAGCAAGACCCUACCAAAACCGAUUCAUUUGUAGUGUACAUGUGCCUGAGUGAGACAAAGACACUGAACGUAGGGUUAAUACCAAAUCUAAACCCAAAAGAGGGAUAAAUACUUUAUCUACUUGUUUGAAAUUGUUGCUUUUCAUUUCA